AUUGAACGCUGGCGGCAUGCCUUACACAUGCAAGUCGAACGGAAACAGGUCUUCGGAUGCUGACGAGUGGCGAACGGGUGCGUAAUACAUCGGAACGUGCCCGCUCGUGGGGGAUAACGAAGCGAAAGCUUUGCUAAUACCGCAUACGAUCUACGGAUGAAAGCAGGGGACCGCAAGGCCUUGCGCGAACGGAGCGGCCGAUGGCAGAUUAGCUAGUUGGUGGGAUAAAAGCUUACCAAGCCGACGAUUUGUAGCUGGUCUGAGAGGACGACCAGCCACACUGGGACUGAGACACGGCCCAGACUCCUACGGGAGGCAGCAGUGGGGAAUUUUGGACAAUGGGCGAAAGCCUGAUCCAGCCAUGCCGCGUGCAGGAUGAAGGCCUUCGGAUUGUAAAAUGCUUUUGUACGGAACGAAAAGACUCUGGUUAAUACCUGGGGUCCAUGACGGUACCGUAAGAAUAAGCACCGGCUAACUACGUG
Molecule: ribosomal RNA, 482 nt
Filed under: uncultured bacterium
Lineage: Bacteria
Description: partial 16S ribosomal RNA
Rfam family: Bacterial small subunit ribosomal RNA
Source: RNAcentral